AGAGUUUGAUCAUGGCUCAGGACGAACGCUGGCGGCGUGCUUCACACAUGCAAGUCGAACGGGGAUGCAGCAAAAGCUUGCUUUUAUUGCAUCCUAGUGGCGGACGGGUGAGUAACACGUGAGCAACCUGCCCGACAUACUGGGAUAACAGCGGGAAACCGUUGCUAAUACCGGAUACUCCAUUUCUGGCGCAUGUCAGAGAUGGGAAAGGGUUUACCGAUGUCGGAUGGGCUCGCGUCCCAUUAGCUGGUUGGUGAGGUAACGGCUCACCAAGGCUGCGAUGGGUAGCUGGUCUGAGAGGACGAUCAGCCACACUGGAACUGAGACACGGUCCAGACUCCUACGGGAGGCAGCAGUGGGGAAUAUUGCACAAUGGGCGAAAGCCUGAUGCAGCGACGCCGCGUGGAGGAUGAAGGCCUUCGGGUCGUAAACUUCUGUUGGAUGGGAAAAAAAGCCUAGGAAUAGGAAUUGAUGGUACCAUUCGAGUAAGCACCGGCUACUACGUGCCAGCAGCCGCGGUAAU
RNAcentral lists this ribosomal RNA (523 nucleotides) under uncultured bacterium. Its description in RNAcentral is "bacterial SSU rRNA". It matches the Rfam family "Bacterial small subunit ribosomal RNA", at positions 8 to 524 of the family's 1533-position model. The record is from RNAcentral.